Molecule: transfer RNA, 72 nt
Filed under: Rattus norvegicus (Norway rat)
Lineage: Eukaryota; Metazoa; Chordata; Mammalia; Rodentia; Muridae
Rfam family: tRNA
About the family: Transfer RNA (tRNA) molecules are approximately 80 nucleotides in length.
Source: Rfam by way of RNAcentral
GGAACUGUAGCUCAGUGGUAGAGCACUUGCCUACAAUACAUGAAGUUCUGGAUUUGAUCACCAGCAAUGUUU